Molecule: long non-coding RNA, 4317 nt
Filed under: Rattus norvegicus (Norway rat)
Lineage: Eukaryota; Metazoa; Chordata; Mammalia; Rodentia; Muridae
Description: long non-coding RNA NONRATT018275
Source: RNAcentral
UUGUCAUUUCAGGUAACUAUGGUGGUGGUGGGAACUAUAAUGACUUUGGAAAUUAUAGUGGACAGCAACAAUCUAAUUAUGGACCCAUGAAGGGGGGCAGUUUUGGUGGAAGAAGCUCAGGCAGUCCCUAUGGUGGUGGCUAUGGAUCUGGAGGUGGAAGUGGUGGAUAUGGUAGCAGAAGGUUUUAAAAUAAAACAAACGGUAGGUAUCUUUACAUUUUUAAAAAUCAUGAUAAAAAAUAUAUGGAAUUGUUCACUGAGUGUAAUAAUUUUUUUAUCCUGUAUUAUUCAACAGGCUACAGUUCUUAGCAGGAGAGAGAGCGAGGAGUUGUCAGGAAAGCUGCAGGUUACUUUGAGACAGUCGUCCUAAAUGCAUUAGAGGAACUGUAAAAAUCUGCCACAGAAGGAACGAUGAUCCAUAGUCAGAAAAGUUACUGCAGCUUAAACAGGAAGCCCUUCUUGUUCAGGACUGUCAUAGCCACAGUUUGCAAAAGUGCAGCUAUCGAUUAAUGCAAUGUAGUGUCAAUUAGAUGUACAUUCCUGAGGUCUUUUAUCUGUUGUAGCUUUGUCUUUUUCUUUUUCUUUUCAUUACAUCAGGUAUAUUGCCCUGUAAAUUGUGGUAGUGGUACCAGGAAUAAAAAAUUAAGGAAUUUUUAACUUUUCAAUAUUUGUGUAGUUCAGUUUUUCUACAUUUUAGUACAGAAACUUUAACAAAAUGCAGUUUUGAAGGUGUUUCCUUGUGAGUUAACAAGUAAAGAAGAUCAUUGUUAAUCACUAUUUUGUAUGAAUUUUGCUAAAGUUAACUGUAAAGAAACACCUACUGACUUGCAGUUUAAGGGGAAUCUAUUCUCCCAUUUCCAAAACCAUGAUGACUGGGCGCUGACAUGUGGAGAGAAUAGAUACUUGUAUGUUUGCAAAUGUGUGUUUUAGAUAAUUAGGAUUGGGUAAUAAAAAAUAGCAUAUUUGUGAAUUUAAUAGCAUUAAGAUUACAUUCAAAUGAAAAAGAUCUCAAAAUUUGCUGUUUGGUUUUGUGCAUUUUCUUUCAAAAUGUAAUCAUGAUUUUAGUGUGGUAGACUUAAGUCCUAACCAUGUUUAAGAACAUCUCCAUUCCACAUUUACCUUGAUAACAUUGAAACUGCUGCCAAUAGUUUGGGGUAUGAAGUGUUUAUACUGCCCUCUACUUCCCAAGGGCGGUAGAUGAAUGCCAUCUCCCUAUUUAACAGCCUUUUAAUAUAGAACCACCAAGUCUGCUGUGUCUGAGCAGACUGUGGUGGGUACCUGGUUUGUUUCUGCUUUUAAGAUUUAAGGUCUCAAAGCCCCAUUGGUCUAGUCAACUUUCCUUGGUUACGUUCCCCACACACAGCUUUUCAGAGCAAAGGAAUAAAAAUCACUGGUUUGAACCCCUGACUGGCUGGCAUGCUUUCCUGUUCAUAUUCUAGCCAUUUUGCUGGAUGGUGAAGCAAAGUAUAGUAAGGUGUCGUCUAAACCAAGCAGCAGAAGAUGUAGCACACACAGUUGCUCAGUGCAAGCACCUCACUUCCCAAAUAUCUCAAUUCAAAUUCAGAACGUCUUGAGUCCUUAAAUCCCCAAAGAACACAUGGUUAUUCUUGUAUAUAUAUCAUUCUAAAACAUGUUGGGUGUGACAAUUUGGAGAACCUGUUUGAGGAGCUUUAGAUACUAAGGUGGUCAUAUACAUGAAAAAAAAAUGUCUGCUGUUGCGCCAGCUAGUGCUUAACAAUUUCAUUCAAGUCCUAAGUAUGUGCCCUGCUGUUACUUUCUUUGGCAGUUGACCGUUGAAUUCAGAUUUUUACUUGGUUUUUAAAGUAUAAGCUAAACAAGCAAUAAAAAGGGGAAUGGGGUGUGCUAGUAUUUCAAUAUGCUCUCUUGUUGCUCUACUGUGCCUCUGUGCAUUAAUAUUUGGAUGCAUGCAAUGCUAGCAUGGAACUUUGGUCUUCACAAAUACUGCAGUUUUUCCAGAAAACACUCACAAACCAAUAAAUGUAACAGACAACAUUCCAUUUGUUAAUGGGCAUAUGUGCAUAAGCAGUGUAGAAAAUAGGCUCAUGUUAGAAACUGGUUACAUCCUUCAUAACUAAAAGUGUGGUUAUUUGAAUGGACACUGUCAAUGUUCAUAGCUUAAACCUGGGUACCUGGUCAAAAUGCUUAGGAAACAUUAAAAUUGAGCUAAAUUGUCUCAAGUCCUUUUAUUCAUAUAAUAAAGAUGGAAGAAAUGGGAUGGGGGAGGCUGGCAGUUCCUGCUUUGUUUGUGAAAUUGUUGGGCACAACCUUGACAGUAUCCUUAAAUGUAAUGAGGUCAAUUGUAUUAACCAACUUUUUAUGUUCUGGAACUAGUAUCAUAGUGAAACCUUUUUCAGUAAGUUGAUGUUUACAACCUAUAAUCAGGUGAAACCUGUAUGUGGCCUGUUUAUAAGUUGUACUAAGUUAGUUUUUGUGAACAGUGUGGAAGAGUAAGCCAUGAGAGCGAUUUAACCAGCUUUAAAGGACCUAAGUUGUGCUUUUUAAGCACUGGAUCAAAGGAAAACCCACUAAGACAGGACUUCAGCAGCCAAUUGAGUAUGGACAAGUCAGCAUAAAUAAAGAAUGAGAAGGCAGCAGCAAGAGCUUCAACAACAGAGAAGUGGAGGCAUAAGAUACUAUGGUGAUAGUGAGCAACUUCCCAAAAGCUAGUUAAAGCUGCUUAUUACAACUGAAUGUCGAAGAAAGUAGCAGGAAGGAGCUCCGCCAUUUGGAACAUCAAUGAGCUAGUUGCCACAGGCACUAGGUCUAGCGUUUAGACCUGCAAGGAAGGGCAAUAAGCAUUAGGUAAGGCUUGAAUUUGAUUUUUUUUUCACUAAUUAAAGAAUACUUUUUGUAAAGCAAGGUAAGAGUAAUCUUUUUGAUUUGCAGGUGAAUGAGAACCCUACCUGCCUAACUGAGGAAUGUCUUUCCCACCACCUUAAAUACGAAGGUUUCUGGCUGGGUAAGGUUUGUAGCUCACAGUAAAAACCGAUGACCGUUGGUUUCCCUACAAAUUAAUGGGACAGUUUGAGACAUUACCCCUCAAGCUCAGUUUUAUUUGGUACCCCAUAGAACAAGUUCUAAGCCUUAGGCAGUUAUACCAUGCCAAGGGUAUUUGUCAUGAGCCAGAUGUGUUCUCUUCAUAUGUACAACUUGCUGUUCCAAGGGAAAGGCAGCUUUCCAUAACGGAAAGUCAUGUUGGCUUUUCAGAAAGUAAUUUUUGGUGUAUGACUUUAUAAUGAGCUGCUAGUUUCCCUAGUUCCACCCUAGGAAAGCAAGGAACUUUCACAAUUGUCAAAAUGUCUUCCUCAAAGUUCUCUAGCUUAAAAGUUUACUAUUGCAUGGACCAGCAGGGACAGUCAGUUUAGUUAUGUGUUUUUAGUCUUCCCCAAAACCCAUCACACCAACAGUCUGGUCUCACUGUUGUCCUAGCUUGGAACUCAGUCCACCAGCCUUCUGUCACCCAAGUGCUGGGAUUAAAGGGUGGUGCCUAUAUGACAACUCAUUCCUUUAAAAAAAAAAAUCCAAAGAACGGCUGGGUUACUAUUAAAAUGUGUUGCUGAUUGUCCAAAAGGGCUAUUUCUGCUGCCCUGAAAGGGCUUCUUUGAAAAUUGCUUAAUUCAGGUUACUUUUUAAUAGAAUAUUUUCAGGGGACAAAUCUGCAAAAUGUUUCCUUCACAGGGAUACCCUGCAUUGCAUCAACAAGUUUGUGUGGCAUUUAAGUCAGGAUGAAUUCACAGAAAUAGGUAGCAAUCUUUCAGUGGUGGUUACUUAAUAGAUUUAGAAAAAUAAAUACGUUAUCUUAAAAGGCAUUUACAGUUCAUUUCCUUUCUGAAAUAAAAUUAUUUUACUUAAUAUGGUUCCACUGUCAUUUCUGCAAAAAUCGUUGGUAGCAACGGUGAACAAGAAAACAAACGAAGGCUGACUUUGGUUUUGUUGGACUUGUGGGAUACUGCUUCCAGUUUAUGUCUGAAAGCUGUGUUCACAUUCAUGUUGAAAUUAGGGAACACAUGGAGAAAAAGUUCUGGUAGGGGACUACAGCGAGUUCAACUUGGUUUUUAUGAGUUCUGUCACGAUUUAAAACGCCUGACAACGGUACGGUGAUUGGCAUGGUAGCAAGCAUGCAGAUAUGCAAGGUGCUGUGAGGAUCGGUAGCCUGUCCAAGUAUUCAGUUUUGAAGCUAACAUGUUUUCAGAUCUUUAUGACAGCAGAGGUGGUCUGUAAUUCAAUUGUUUCAUUUGUAGCAUAAUGAAAUGUUACAGAAAGAUGACCUUUUCAUUAAAAUAUUUUUAGAAAUGUG